This 471-nucleotide ribosomal RNA is filed under the name uncultured Alphaproteobacteria bacterium. Its description in RNAcentral is "bacterial SSU rRNA". It matches the Rfam family "Bacterial small subunit ribosomal RNA", at positions 8 to 525 of the family's 1533-position model. The record is from RNAcentral. Lineage: Bacteria; Pseudomonadati; Pseudomonadota; Alphaproteobacteria.
AGAGUUUGAUCCUGGCUCAGAACGAACGCUGGCGGCAGGCCUAACACAUGCAAGUCGAACGAGACCUUCGGGUCUAGUGGCGCACGGGUGCGUAACGCGUGGGAAUCUACCCUUAGGUGCGGAAUAACUCAGAGAAAUUUGAGCUAAUACCGCAUAAUGACUCCGGUCCAAAGAUUUAUCGCCUAAGGAUGAGCCCGCGUAAGAUUAGCUAGUUGGUGAGGUAAAAGCUCACCAAGGCGACGAUCUUUAGCUGGUCUGAGAGGACGACCAGCCACACUGGGACUGAGACACGGCCCAGACUCCUACGGGAGGCAGCAGUGGGGAAUAUUGGACAAUGGGCGCAAGCCUGAUCCAGCCAUGCCGCGUGAGUGAUGAAGGCCUUAGGGUUGUAAAGCUCUUUUACCAGGGAUGAUAAUGACAGUACCUGGAGAAUAAGCUCCGGCUAACUCCGUGCCAGCAGCCGCGGUAAUA